AGGCUGAAGGGGAGGAGGAGGAAGCUGGAAGCCAAGAUGAGGAGGUGGCAGAGAUUCAGGCCAGAGUUGUGGGCCGCCGUCGGCAGCAAGAACAGAGAGAGAGGUGGACAGAUCUGAGAGAUACUGAGUCCCUGCACUAGGUCAGACAAUCCCCUUUGGGGUACAGGAAACAAAGCAGGAGGAGUUUGAGGUCCCUACACUGCAGCAGAAGAAGAGGAAGGAGUGGGGCCUGAAUUGACCAUAAAGGAUGUAGGGGCCACGUUGUUCCACUGUAAUGUCAAGGAGGGGGUGGCCAUUGUUUGUCCCAGCCUGGGGCUCCCCCUCUGGUUUCCUAUUUGUAGUUACUAGAAUGAAAAAAAAACAUGAUAGAUAAAUAAAUAAUCCACUGGCAGAGAUCAGA
Molecule: long non-coding RNA, 400 nt
Organism: Homo sapiens (human)
Lineage: Eukaryota; Metazoa; Chordata; Mammalia; Primates; Hominidae
Gene: HMGA1P4
Product: high mobility group AT-hook 1 pseudogene 4
Source: Ensembl